CACUCCCCAAAUUCCCGAUCUCGAUCUAGGGUUUCCCUCCCCAAUCCUCAUCCAUGGCGCUCGAAUGGGUGGUUCUCGGCUACGCCGCCGGCGCCGAGGCGAUCAUGGUGCUCCUCCUGACCAUGCCCGGCCUCGACGGCCUCCACCGGGGCCUCGUCGCCGUCACCCGCAGCGCGCUGAAGCCGCUGCUCUCCAUCGUCCCCUUCUGUCUCUUUCUUCUCAUGGACAUCUACUGGAAAUACGAGACCCGUCCGACCUGCGAUCAGGAGCACGCCUGCACCCCCACCGAGCACCUCCGCCACCAGAAAUCCAUCAUGAAGAGUCAGCGCAACGCGCUCCUCAUCGCCGCCGCUCUCGUCCUCUACUGGCUCUUGUUCGCCGUCACGGGGCUCGUCGUCCGGCUCGAUCAGCUCAGCCAGCGCGUCGAGAAGCUCAAGCGCCAGGACUGAUGUGCGGCGUCUUCAGGCCUGCUACUCUACCUUUGUUUCGCUAUCUUUGUCCGUGGUAGUUUGAUAUCUGGUUUUAGUAGAGUGUAUUGAAUUAUG
RNAcentral lists this unclassified non-coding RNA (545 nucleotides) under Hevea brasiliensis (rubber tree). The record is from RNAcentral. Lineage: Eukaryota; Viridiplantae; Streptophyta; Magnoliopsida; Malpighiales; Euphorbiaceae.